This 490-nucleotide ribosomal RNA is filed under the name uncultured bacterium. RNAcentral's name for it is "partial 16S ribosomal RNA". It matches the Rfam family "Bacterial small subunit ribosomal RNA", at positions 30 to 507 of the family's 1533-position model. The record is from RNAcentral.
AUUGAACGCUGGCGGCAGGCCUAACACAUGCAAGUCGAACGGUAACAGGAAGAAGCUUGCUUCUUUGCUGACGAGUGGCGGACGGGUGGGUAAUGUCUGGGAAACUGCCUGAUGGAGGGGGAUAACUACUGGAAACGGUAGCUAAUACCGCAUAACGUCGCAAGACCAAAGAGGGGGACCUUCGGGCCUCUUGCCAUCGGAUGUGCCCAGAUGGGAUUAGCUAGUAGGUGGGGUAACGGCUCACCUAGGCGACGAUCCCUAGCUGGUCUGAGAGGAUGACCAGCCACACUGGAACUGAGACACGGUCCAGACUCCUACGGGAGGCAGCAGUGGGGAAUAUUGCACAAUGGGCGCAAGCCUGAUGCAGCCAUGCCGCGUGUAUGAAGAAGGCCUUCGGGUUGUAAAGUACUUUCAGCGGGGAGGAAGGGAGUAAAGUUAAUACCUUGACUCAUUGACGUUACCCGCAGAAGAAGCACCGGCUAACUCCGUG